RNAcentral lists this long non-coding RNA (452 nucleotides) under Capsella grandiflora. Its description in RNAcentral is "long non-coding RNA (CGRA_LNC000754)". The record is from RNAcentral. Lineage: Eukaryota; Viridiplantae; Streptophyta; Magnoliopsida; Brassicales; Brassicaceae.
CAACUCACGUUCUUAAAUACCAUUACCAUUCUCACGUUCCUCUUGUAAUCUUUUUGUUUUUCUCUGUUGAUUGCCUCAUUACAGGGAAACAAGUGUUAAAAACGUCGCUAGCCGAAACUAACUAGUUUUGGAAAGUCAAGCCAGCAAAAACCAAGACAGGUAGGAGCCAAACUGUUAUAAAAUCAGAUUGAAUCUCUCCAUGACCGAAACUCUUUCGUCCUCAUCAUUGAUUUGUGUAGAUUCUUAAUCCAAAACCAGCAACGCUGCUGCUCCACAGGAAAAAACGAGGUCUUGCUCACUUCCAAGUUUUAAGCUCAACCUGUGAAAAACCAGAAGCCAAUUCAUCUAGUUUCAGCAUGGUAUAUUUGUACUUGAUAAAUAGAAAACUAAACGAAACCCGUGUGUUCUGUGAUUUGAUGCAGAUUUUGACAGCACCAGCUUUGCCUGCANNN